AUUGAACGCUGGCGGCAUGCUUUACACAUGCAAGUCGAACGGCAGCGGGGAGGAGCUUGCUUCUCUGCCGGCGAGUGGCGAACGGGUGAGUAAUACAUCGAACGUGUCGAGAAGAGGGGGAUAACCACCCGAAAGGGUGGCUAAUACCGCAUAAAUUCUGAGGAAGAAAGCUGGGGACCUAGGAAUAGGCCUAGCGCUUUUUGAGCGGCCGAUGUCGGAUUAGCUAGUUGGUGAGGUAAAGGCUCACCAAGGCGAAGAUCUGUAGCGGGUCUGAGAGGAUGAUCCGCCACACUGGGACUGAGACACGGCCCAGACUCCUACGGGAGGCAGCAGUGGGGAAUUUUGGACAAUGGGGGCAACCCUGAUCCAGCCAUGCCGCGUGUAUGAAGAAGGCCUUAGGGUUGUAAAGUACUUUUGUUAGGGAAGAAAAGUCAGCUGUGAAUAAUGGCUGAUACUGACGGUACCUAAAGAAUAAGCACCGGCUAACUACGUG
This 493-nucleotide ribosomal RNA is filed under the name uncultured bacterium. RNAcentral describes it as "partial 16S ribosomal RNA". It matches the Rfam family "Bacterial small subunit ribosomal RNA", at positions 30 to 507 of the family's 1533-position model. The record is from RNAcentral.